GUCCCGGACCGAAUAUACCGAAGAAUUCUAGCCAUCAGAUUUAGAGAUAGUAAACUAAUAAUAGCCAUUAGAUUUAGGGGGGUAUAUAUAUAGAACAUACGGCUAGGGUUUCUUAUUUUCUUCUUUCUUUUUUCCGCCUCUCAGAGAAGGAGAAGAACUCCAUUAGAGUUACAGGGAAGAGUUUUAUUCUUAAUCUUCUCUUCUCCAUUAGACUUCAACUCCACGAACACCAGUUACACUUACACCACCUCUAGAUCGAGAAGAAGAAGGAGAAAUUGUUAACCAAGGGGUUAUAUCACGCCAAGGAGAAGACGAAGGGAAAGGAUUCAAGGAACCAUCCAGCUCAGAAAUUGUUAAUCAAGGAGUUCCACUGGUUCUAUCAUAGCCACCACCAGUGCUGCC
This is a long non-coding RNA of Papaver somniferum (opium poppy), 402 nucleotides long. RefSeq lists it as uncharacterized. The transcript has 3 exons. The record is from RefSeq and is a predicted model, not a curated record. NCBI's taxonomy places the organism in Eukaryota, Viridiplantae, Streptophyta, Magnoliopsida, Ranunculales, Papaveraceae.